UAAAUCAGCAUUGUAGCAGUUAAGAUUUAGCAGUGUAACAGUGGGAUAACUCUGAAAAUGAAAUAAGGUCUACCAGUGUAACAGUGGGAUAAUUAUAUCUAUGGCAAUGAGGUAAGGUUUAGCAGCGUUACAGUGAGAUAACUACAUAACUAUGGCAAUGAGGUAAGGUUUAGCAGCGUUACAGUGAGAUAACUACAUAACUAUGGCAAUGAGGUAAGGUUUAGCAGUGUAACAGUGAGAUAAUAUAACUACAUAACUAUGGCAAUGAGGUAAGGUUUAGCAGACUGUAACAGUGGGAUAAUUAUAUCUAUGGCAAUGAGGUAAGGUUUAGCAGUGUAACAGUGAGAUAACUACAUAAUUAUGGCAAUGAGGUAAGGUUUAGCAGUGUAACAGUGGGAUAACUAUGGCAAUGAGGUAAGGUUUAGCAGUGUAACAG
This is a long non-coding RNA of Mizuhopecten yessoensis (Yesso scallop), 436 nucleotides long. RefSeq lists it as uncharacterized. Lineage: Eukaryota; Metazoa; Mollusca; Bivalvia; Pectinida; Pectinidae. The transcript has 3 exons. The record is from RefSeq and is a predicted model, not a curated record.